GGGUGGAUUAGUGGCGAACGGGUGAGUAACACGUGGGCAAUCUGCCCUUCACUCUGGGACAAGCCCUGGAAACGGGGUCUAAUACCGGAUACGACCUGGGAAGGCAUCUUCUCGGGUGGAAAGCUCCGGCGGUGAAGGAUGAGCCCGCGGCCUAUCAGCUUGUUGGUGGGGUAAUGGCCUACCAAGGCGACGACGGGUAGCCGGCCUGAGAGGGCGACCGGCCACACUGGGACUGAGACACGGCCCAGACUCCUACGGGAGGCAGCAGUGGGGAAUAUUGCACAAUGGGCGCAAGCCUGAUGCAGCGACGCCGCGUGAGGGAUGACGGCCUUCGGGUUGUAAACCUCUUUCAGCAGGGAAGAAGCGCAAGUGACGGUACCUGCAGAAGAAGCGCCGGCUAACUACGUGCCAGCAGCCGCGGUAAUACGUAGGGCGCAAGCGUUGUCCGGAAUUAUUGGGCGUAAAGAGCUCGUAGGCGGCUUGUCACGUCGGGUGUGAAAGCCCGGGGCUUAACCCCGGGUCUGCAUCCGAUACGGGCAGGCUAGAGUGUGGUAGGGGAGAUCGGAAUUCCUGGUGUAGCGGUGAAAUGCGCAGAUAUCAGGAGGAACACCGGUGGCGAAGGCGGAUCUCUGGGCCAUUACUGACGCUGAGGAGCGAAAGCGUGGGGAGCGAACAGGAUUAGAUACCCUGGUAGUCCACGCCGUAAACGUUGGGAACUAGGUGUUGGCGACAUUCCACGUCGUCGGUGCCGCAGCUAACGCA
This 762-nucleotide ribosomal RNA is filed under the name Streptomyces sp. MBRL 8. RNAcentral's name for it is "bacterial SSU rRNA". It matches the Rfam family "Bacterial small subunit ribosomal RNA", at positions 85 to 859 of the family's 1533-position model. Lineage: Bacteria; Bacillati; Actinomycetota; Actinomycetes; Kitasatosporales; Streptomycetaceae. The record is from RNAcentral.